Molecule: long non-coding RNA, 1318 nt
Organism: Syngnathus typhle (broad-nosed pipefish)
Lineage: Eukaryota; Metazoa; Chordata; Actinopteri; Syngnathiformes; Syngnathidae
Exons: 2
Source: RefSeq, a predicted model, not a curated record
AGAUACCCAUGACCAACCUUAUUAUACACUUACCCAAUUACCCAGCCUAGUAAGUCGGAGGGCAAAGGAACACUCGCACACAUUCGAGCAUGCACGCUCACGCUGUCCGGUUCAUCGGGAGGCAAGAGGGGUCGUCAAGUGCGUGGGGAGUGUGAAAGGAUAUUGACAAAGUGCAUCAAGUUUGUAUCCAGGCUUGGCUUAUGCCCAGCUGGCUUUGGACCAUGAUGCAGGUGCCACAUGAGAUCACUGGCCAAAUUCGUACAGCCCCCAGCGAACCCAUAUCGCUGUCCGGCUACUGUGAGGCUCCACAACAGCCCCGGGGAGCAAUCGAGAGGUCCAACCUGGACGUGUAACCUGAGUGCAACUCUUGUGUAUCGUGCAAGGAUGUUGAAAAGAGGAGGGGAAAGUGGAGGAUAUGUUGCACACGGGCAACUUGGCAGUGUGUGUGUGUUUGUGUAUGUGUGUGUGUGUGCGCGCGUGUGCGUGUGUGAGCGCGUGUGACCGGCUCCUGCAGCUUGAGUAUUAUAAAUUCUGUCGAUAAAUUUUAAGACUGACAAGACAGAUGAUUGCAACACUGUUGAAUGCAGACUGCUUCCAUUUUAUUUUUUUGCACUGGAGACAAAAUUUUAUCCACAUACUCAGGAGUUACAUAUAAUAUGACAAAACUGACACUGAUGAAUGCAAAUAAUUAGAUAAUUCCACUAAUAACAAGGCAUGGGCAUGUUGAAUAUGGGCGUACCUUACUAGUGCUUACUUAGUAGACAUGCUAGUGACGGAAGAAUGAGGCUUCAAAGUGGUUCAUGAACCAGUUGUGUUUAUCGAGCCCUCUAAAUGGCACUCGGUUUAACAUAGGGCACAAAGUACUCUGACUCACCCUUUCUUAAACUAAUUUUUUUAACCAACAGUGCCAUCUGGAGGAGUCGAAAAAACAACCGGUUCAUGAAGCAUACUCGAAGCUUCAUUUUCCCGUCACUAUGAGAUACUCGAUUGUCGAUUAAUUUAAUGCAUGCAUUUUUUUCUGUUUAAAAGAUCUGUUUUCAUAUGUUUCAAUUUGUUUGACACUGUCUAAAGAGACAACACAAAUUUUAAAUGUUUAAAGAUGGUCUCUGCAUAGUGCAGUUUAUAUUGUGGGUGGGUCUGGAAAAUAUCCCCCUUGAUAAAUAUGGAUUCUUACUUCCCCCCCACUACUAAAACCCGCCAAAUGACUGACACCAAUGAAUGCAGAUGCUAAUAUACUGUAUUCUAUAUGCUUGUUGUUAUAACUUUUACACGUGCGCCAAGGUACGGAUUGCGUUACAAUUAAACGAUCUUAACAAGG